GGGGAAAGAAGAGUGUCAGGGAGAGGGAGACAGGUUGGUGGGGAAAGAAGAGUGACAGGGAGAGGGAGACAGGUUGGUGGGGAAAGAAGAGUGACAGGGAGAGGGAGACAGGUUGGUGGGGAAAGAAGAGUGGCAGGGAGAGGGAGACAGGUUGGUGGGGAAAGAAGAGUGGCAGGGAGAGGGAGACAGGUUGGUGGGGAAAGAAGAGUGGUAGGGAGAGGGAGAAUGUGUGGAUGACAAAGGACAGGAAGACCAGGAGCGGUGGUCUCUGAUGAGAUAAGGGCCACAAUUAUUGACCAUGUUGUAAACCAUUGUCUCUCUUUGAGAGUGGCCGG
Long non-coding RNA from Oncorhynchus tshawytscha (Chinook salmon), 335 nucleotides. Lineage: Eukaryota; Metazoa; Chordata; Actinopteri; Salmoniformes; Salmonidae. The record is from Ensembl.